UACGUAGGGUGCAAGCGUUGUCCGGAAUUAUUGGGCGUAAAGAGCUCGUAGGCGGUUUGUCGCGUCUGCUGUGAAAACUCGGGGCUUAACCCCGGGCCUGCAGUGGGUACGGGCAGACUAGAGUGCGGUAGGGGGAGACUGGAAUUCCUGGUGUAGCGGUGAAAUGCGCAGAUAUCAGGAGGAACACCCGUGGCGAAGGCGGCUCUCUGGGACGGUACUGACGCUGAGACGCGAAAGCGUGGGGAGCGAACAGG
This 254-nucleotide ribosomal RNA is filed under the name uncultured bacterium. Its description in RNAcentral is "partial 16S ribosomal RNA". It matches the Rfam family "Bacterial small subunit ribosomal RNA", at positions 524 to 776 of the family's 1533-position model. The record is from RNAcentral.